This 554-nucleotide ribosomal RNA is filed under the name uncultured archaeon. Its description in RNAcentral is "bacterial SSU rRNA". It matches the Rfam family "Archaeal small subunit ribosomal RNA", at positions 321 to 879 of the family's 1478-position model. The record is from RNAcentral.
CCCUACGGGGUGCAGCAUGCGCGAAAACUUUACAAUGCGAGCAAUCGUGAUAAGGGAACUCCGAGUGCCUGUAAAAUCAGGCUGUCCGCCAGUUUAAAUAACUGGUGAAGAAAGGGCCGGGCAAGACCGGUGCCAGCCGCCGCGGUAAUACCGGCGGCUCGAGUGGUGGCCACUAUUACUGGGCUUAAAGCGUUCGUAGCCGGUCUGUUAAGUCUCUGGGGAAAUCUUCCGGCUUAACCGGAAGGCGUCUCAGGGAUACUGGCAGACUAGGGACCGGAAGAGGUGAGAGGUACUCCAGGGGUAGGAGUGAAAUCCUGUAAUCCUUGGGGGACCACCUGUGGCGAAGGCGUCUCACCAGGACGGCUCCGACAGUGAGGAACGAAAGCUGGGGGAGCAAACCGGAUUAGAUACCCGGGUAGUCCCAGCUGUAAACGAUGCGCGUUAGGUGUAUCGGUGACCACGAGUCACCGAGGUGCCGAAGAGAAAUCGUGAAACGUGCCGCCUGGGAAGUACGGUCGCAAGGCUGAAACUUAAAGGAAUUGGCGGGGGAGCAC